This 495-nucleotide ribosomal RNA is filed under the name uncultured bacterium. RNAcentral describes it as "partial 16S ribosomal RNA". It matches the Rfam family "Bacterial small subunit ribosomal RNA", at positions 28 to 507 of the family's 1533-position model. The record is from RNAcentral.
GACGAACGCUGGCGGCGUGCCUAAUACAUGCAAGUAGAACGCUGAAGGAGGGGCUUGCUUCUCCGGAUGAGUUGCGAACGGGUGAGUAACGCGUAGGUAACCUGCCUGGUAGCGGGGGAUAACUAUUGGAAACGAUAGCUAAUACCGCAUAAGAGUAGAUGUCGCAUGACAUUUGCUUAAAAGGUGCAACUGCACCACUACCAGAUGGACCUGCGUUGUAUUAGCUAGUUGGUGAGGUAACGGCUCACCAAGGCAACGAUACAUAGCCGAACUGAGAGGGGGAUCGGCCACACUGGGAGUGAGACACGGCCCAGAGGCCUACGGGAGGCAGCAGUAGGGAAUCGUCGGCAAUGGGCGGAAGUCUGACCGAGCAACGCGGCGGGAGUGAAGAAGGAUGUCGGAUCGUAAAGCUCGGUUGUAAGAGAAGAACGAGUGUGAGAGUGGAAAGUUCACACUGUGACGGUAUCUUGCCAGAAAGGGACGGCUAACUACGUG